AGGAGUAUCUGCACCAUACUAGAAUACGGGGGCUGAUUUGGGAGAUAAUUCUUGCCCUUCAGUUCUUUGUUUACCAGUAUGGGAUUGUGUAUCAUUUACAUGUAGCCAGAGGUGACCAGAGCAUCAUGGUUUAUGGUCUGUCCUGGCUAGUCAUAGUGGCUGUCAUGAUCAUCUUGAAGAUCGUGUCCAUGGGUAGAAAAACUUUUAGUGCUGAUUUUCAGCUUAUGUUUCGUCUCCUCAAAUUGUUUCUGUUUAUUGGAG
Vicia villosa (hairy vetch) is the source of this 261-nucleotide long non-coding RNA. RefSeq lists it as uncharacterized. The record is from RefSeq and is a predicted model, not a curated record. The transcript has 3 exons. Lineage: Eukaryota; Viridiplantae; Streptophyta; Magnoliopsida; Fabales; Fabaceae.